UUGACCUCGAAUCAGGUAGGAAUACCCGCUGAACUUAAGCAUAUCAAUAAGCGGAGGAAAAGAAACCAACCGGGAUUACCUCAGUAACGGCGAGUGAAGCGGUAACAGCUCAAAUUUGAAAUCUGGCUCCUCUGGAGUCCGAGUUGUAAUUUGUAGAAGAUGCUUUGGGUUGUGGGUUCGGCCUAAGUUCCUUGGAACAGGACGUCAUAGAGGGUGAGAAUCCCGUAUGUGGCCGAGGCCCGCGCCUAUGUAAAGCUCUUUCAACGAGUCGAGUUGUUUGGGAAUGCAGCUCAAAAUGGGUGGUAAAUUUCAUCUAAAGCUAAAUAUGGGCCAGAGACCGAUAGCGCACAAGUAGAGUGAUCGAAAGAUGAAAAGCACUUUGGAAAGAGAGUUAAACAGUACGUGAAAUUGUUGAAAGGGAAGCGCUUGCACCCAGACUUGGGCGCUGCUGAUCACCUUGCGGUCUCCGCGAGUGCACUCGACAGCGCACAGGCCAGCAUCGGUUCGGGUGGCUGGAUAAAGGCCGUAGGAACGUAGCUCCCUUCGGGGAGUGUUAUAGCCUACGGUGCCAUGCAGCCCAGCCGGACCGAGGACCGCGCCUUCGGGCUAGGAUGCUGGCGUAAUGGGUGUAAGCGACCCGUCUUGAAACACGGACCAAGGAGUCUAACAUCUAUGCGAGUGUUUGGGUGGCAAACCCAUACGCGGAAUGAAAGUGAACGUAGGUGAGAACCCCUUUGGGGCGCAUCAUCGACCGAUCCUGAUGUCUUCGGAUGGAUUUGAGUAAGAGCAUAGC
This 793-nucleotide ribosomal RNA is filed under the name Pseudoidium sp. DNA565. RNAcentral describes it as "eukaryotic LSU rRNA". It matches the Rfam family "Eukaryotic large subunit ribosomal RNA", at positions 1 to 806 of the family's 3401-position model. RNAcentral also lists the same sequence under 1 other name. Lineage: Eukaryota; Fungi; Ascomycota; Leotiomycetes; Helotiales; Erysiphaceae. The record is from RNAcentral.